AUUGAACGCUGGCGGCAGGCCUAACACAUGCAAGUCGAACGAGUGGCGGACGGGUGAGUAAUGUAUGGGAAACUGCCUGGUGGAGGGGGAUAACUACUGGAAACGGUAGCUAAUACCGCAUACCAUUGGAUGUGCCCAGAUGGGAUUAGCGAGUAGGUGGGGUAAAUGCUAACCAAGGCGACGAUCCCUAGCUGGUCUGAGAGGAUGUCCCGCCACACGGGAACUGAGACACGUUCCAGACUCCUACGGGAGGCAGCAGUGGGGAAGAUUGGACAAUGGGCGAAAUCCUGAUGCAGCCAUGCCGCGUGUAUGAAGAAGGCCUUCGGGUUGUAAAGUACUUUCAGCUGGGAGGCGUUACCCGCAGAAGAAGCACCGGCUAACUCCGUGCCAGCAGCCGCGGUAAUAC
This 406-nucleotide ribosomal RNA is filed under the name uncultured bacterium. RNAcentral describes it as "partial 16S ribosomal RNA". It matches the Rfam family "Bacterial small subunit ribosomal RNA", at positions 30 to 526 of the family's 1533-position model. The record is from RNAcentral.